AUAGAGCUGACGUAUCUCGCUUGCAUUCAGCCGUACUUUUUGGCGGCUUUGGCUAGGCGCCCCUUUGGGGUGUUUGGUUGAGGUUCUGCUGACUAGUGUGGUGUUUUUGCAAGUGAAGCGCACCGGGUACUAUUCUUUAGCGGUAAUAAGCUGACAUUGAGGGCUCAAUCUCGGUUGGGUGUCCCAUGUUAGUGGAAGACUGAUUAGGGAAUAACUCUAACGGAGUGGAUAACCGGCCGUUUAGUUGUUUGGGGUGUCUUUAGUUGUUCCGCUUGCGGCCCUUCUCUAGGCUAACCUUGCUUCUAAUAGUGUCCCCUCUCCUGCAGAUUCGGUGUAAAAGUCGGUCAUCUAUCCGACCCGUCUUGAAACACGGACCAAGGAGUUUAUCAAAUACGCGAGUCAUUGAGUAGUAAACUCAAAGGCGUAAUGAAAGUAAAGGUGCCCUUGAUGGGCUGAUAUGCGAUCCGCAGCGUCUCGGCGUUGUGGAGCAGCAUAGCCCCAUUCUGAUUGCUUGCAAUAGGGUGGAGGUAGAGCGUAUUUGAUGAGACCCGAAAGAUGGUGAACUAUGCCUGAGCAGGAUGAAGCCAGAGGAAACUCUGGUGGAAGUCCGAAGCGGUUCUGACGUGCAAAUCGAUCGUCUGACUUGGGUAUAGGGGCGAAAGACUAAUCGAACCAUCUAGUAGCUG
Molecule: ribosomal RNA, 686 nt
Filed under: Tylenchina sp.
Lineage: Eukaryota; Metazoa; Nematoda; Chromadorea; Rhabditida
Description: partial large subunit ribosomal RNA
Rfam family: Eukaryotic large subunit ribosomal RNA
Source: RNAcentral